Molecule: long non-coding RNA, 346 nt
Filed under: Nicotiana benthamiana
Lineage: Eukaryota; Viridiplantae; Streptophyta; Magnoliopsida; Solanales; Solanaceae
Description: long non-coding RNA (NBEN_LNC032470)
Source: RNAcentral
AAAUUGGAACGGAGGAAGUAUUAGAUUAGGAAUGAUUAUAUUCGGGAGAAGGUGCACGUGGCUUCCAUUGCUGACAAGAUGCGGGAAGCGUGACUCAGAUAGUUCGGACAUGUUCAGAAGAGAAGCCCAGAUGCUCCAGUAAGGAUGUGUGAGCGACUGAUUGUGGAGGGCACGAGAAGAGGUAGAUGAUGGCCUAAGAAGUAUUGAGUAGAAGUGAUCAGACAAGAUAUGGUGAAACUUCAAAUUUUGAAGAAUGAUAUGAAGAUUUAGAUGUUGAGUAUCAGGGUUGUAGGUUGGGAGGUAGUCGAGUCUUGCCUUAUUUCGUACUUUUGUGAGACUAGUGUGA